CUUUGAUGUGUGUUAGUAUAAAAACCCAGUAUCUGACAUAGGCAAAUUUCUAUCUUCUAACACACACACACACACACACACACACACACACACAAACUGCUUUUAAGAGAAAGUUGUCACUUGAGCAAAAACUUUCAUCUUUAGCUGAUCCAAUGACGGGAAGCUAUUUGGCAUAGACUUAGUAAAACCUUCACGCAAAACCAGCAGAGGAACUGCCAGAGCUUCCAUAUAGGGUGUAACUUGAGGAGUCAUCCUGAUGCUGGAAGAGCCGUCCAGCUUUCCAGAAGGAGGCCAGUAAAAAGCGGGGAGAGAUACUUCUCAAAUCUCAUCAUCAGGCGGCUGAAGAUGACCACAGCCCUAUCAGUGUGCAGAUGGAACGGCAGAUUUUCAACACCGGUUUUUCCUCUUCUUCUUUUUAACUCCCAAUUUGUUUGCUGGUUUCUUUAGUCAAGUUAACUUGGACUAAGGAGACUAGAGAUGCCAGUGACUGUGCAAAAGGGAAACUUGCAACUUACAUAACAAGCAUCAGAACCUUAAAUUUGGUGUUUGCUGUUGGAGCCCUGAGCCACAAUGAAAAGUGGACUAUCUGGCCAGAGAGACUCUUGGAGAGAGAACGAUGCCGAGUCAGCCCUAGCUGUGACAGUCAGACUCUUGGAGGAGCCCCACAUGGGAGUCAAGAAGCACUCCUUAAGUUCAGCCCCUGUCCAGCCACAAGGUCUACCCACAGAAGCAUAAAAACAAUAAAAUGUUGUUUUAAGCUACAAAGUUUGAGUAAAUGGUGUGUCAAACAGUACUAGAUAACUGAAACAACCAUGAGUGUAUCUGUGUGUGACAUCCACUGAAAUUCUCCAACUUUGCUCUUGUAUUUUUGUUUUUAUUUUUUUAAUUAUAGGAUAUUUAAUAAGUAAGACAGAGUAAAUAAACUUUACUUGUACAUUUUAGCAUAAUUAACAAAGAAUUACAAAGCAAAACCUAUGUAAUCGCUACCUAGGUCAAGAAACAGAACACUGCUAGCACCCAAACCCAUCCCACCUCCUCUUUGCGCAUCACAACUGGCCCCCCAUUGGUAAACAUUGACUUGUUUUUUGUGACAUGAAUUGCUUAGCUUUUCCUUAUAGUUUUGCCACUAAAGUAUACAUUCUUAAACAUUAUGGUUCAUGCUUGUAUCAAACUUUCUGUGAACGGAGUCAGUGUGUAUGCAUUCUUUUAAGACUUGCUUCAUUUGCUGAACUUAUGUCUGUGAUACUCAUCCACGUUGUUGCACAUAGCU
RNAcentral lists this long non-coding RNA (1270 nucleotides) under Equus caballus (horse). RNAcentral's name for it is "lncRNA (ENSECAG00000029770.2)". The record is from RNAcentral. Lineage: Eukaryota; Metazoa; Chordata; Mammalia; Perissodactyla; Equidae.